CGGGAGGCGGAGCUUGCAGUGAGCUGAGAUCUGGCCACUGCACUCCAGCCUUGGCGGCAGAGCGAGACUCUGUCUCAAAAAAAAAAAAAAAAAAAAAGAAUAAAUUAUAUUCCAGUUGUUGCAAUGGGCAUUGAGGACACACUGGUGAACAAAAAGUUUUAGAGGAACUGAAAGAGCACAGCCUUAUUAAAGUCAUAAAAGUAAAGCCAUGAAGUUUAAAGUAAGCCAUACCUUAUUUUAGAGGAAAAACACCACUAGAUGACUUCAGAUAGCAGAGUUAACUGAAAGAAACAAUGUUGGGGGAGAGACAACGGACAGGAAACAAUUGGGGUAGUGUCGAUAGGAAACACUGGCAGUAGCCACCAUCAACAGCACUCAAAACAGAUGAAAUGGCACCUAGGAAGUUGACGAGGCAGGAAGGAGCUCGGUGCUUUCACGGGGAGAGGGGAGGCCCGCGCGGCUGGCUUGUAGCCACAGGUGAGACUGGGCUCAGGGCCAGGGCGACUUCUUCCACUACCGCGUGAUUACAAUAUAAAGUAACCAGUGAUUGGCUAUCUCCCAUUCUUCCCCCGUGAUUGGCUAUCUCCCGUUCUCCCCCUGCCCGAAUUCCUAGAACAGCGAGACAGCUGGGAAAGAACAGACCUAGGAGGAGUCUCUGCACCUCCAAUCUCCCGGAAUAAUCAGGCAAAGCAAUGGACUCCAGCUUUUCCAGGAAGUUCCAGCUCCCCUGCGACCAGGUCCUCUCCGAUCGCUAUUUAACAGCUCCCACCAGGUGGCGCCAGAACACCGCGAGGCCUGGAACUCCGGGCAGUCUCGCGGUGCAUCCUCACCUCAGCCAUUUAAAUCUAGCAGUAAUGGGGUCCCAUAUCUCACGCAAUUGAAAUUUUAGACUCCACUUACUGCGUUAUGAUAGUCUGAAUUUCCUUGAAUCUCACAGUUGCCCUGCGAAGAAUGUAAUGAUAUUUCCAUUGUACUGAUGAGAAGUGGUUUCAGGACGGUUAAACAGUUAAAUAUCGUGGCCAAGGGAACUAACCUACUGAGGAGCUGGGAUUCCAACCACAGGUAUUCUGAUUUCACCUUUGGCGUUCCUUCCUCUAAGCCUAACUCCCAAUCUAGAGUACGGGCUGGAGGAGACACCCUUGCUUUGACACGGGAGCUCAAGCCAUACCCAGAGACAGUGUGGACAUGGCGGUUCCCAGAAAGCAGACCAGGAGGAGAGGGAGGUACCUGGAGGAAGGAUGCUGAGCCAGAGAAGACAGCAAACAUGACAGAGACCGUACAUGGCUGUAAGACAUUGUUUGUGAAUUUAAGACAUUUCCUGCUGCAUUCUUUUCACAUUUUUCCCUUGGGGUAGGGGACUGAGGGGAAAUAUACCUACCAGUGGCUCAUUAUAGGGGAAAAUUUCUGUAGAAUUUAAGGUUUGAUGUUGAAAAACAAUUGUGUACAUUUGCGUACUAUUAUAUUGUACUGCCACAAUUUUAGCAAUUCAAAAUAUUGAUUGAAAUUACUUAUUCUUUUCCACAAAUCUUGAACUAAAAUGGAUUUUCCAAGAAAAUGCAUUAUGAAUCUCUCAAUAUGCCACCACAUACCUCCUAUGGUAUAUGUACCCUCAUCUAAAAAAUAGAACUCCAUGGGGAUGCCAAACCCCAUGGGGAGGGACUUUGUGGAGAUUUGGAGGUCCUACAGUUGCAAGUGGUGGUAAAAGCCAGAAAAAUGCAGAUAACAGGAGGAUAACUUUUUGCUCAUAGGGUAGACUAUGAUUAGACAUUUUUGGUGGAGAUAUUUAUUUAUACCGGACAAUGGGAGACAACCCGAGCCUGUCAUAGCAGGGCUAGCAGGGACCAUUUUGUCACAUGGCACAGAAACUCACAGAAACUAGAAGUUAGGAUAGUGGUGGUGCUGGUAGUUUUGGUGGUAGUCAUAGGCAUAGUAAAGGUAGUGUUUUGGUGAAGAAAUAGGAGAAUCACACGAAAUUAAGUUGUACCCUGGCUUUCACAGAAAUGAAAAGAAUACUGGCAGUUAAUGUCUCUGCUUUUCCUUUGGGUUUGAAUGUUUUCUUUCUGCUACUCUCUACAUGUGUAUCCCAUUCUCUUUCAG
Molecule: long non-coding RNA, 2097 nt
Filed under: Piliocolobus tephrosceles (Ugandan red Colobus)
Lineage: Eukaryota; Metazoa; Chordata; Mammalia; Primates; Cercopithecidae
Description: lncRNA (ENSPTEG00000034708.1)
Source: RNAcentral